GUCUACAGCCAUGCCACCCUGAAUAAGCCCGAUGUCUGAUCUUGGAAGCUAGGCAGGGUCAGGCCUGGUUAGUACUUGGAUUGGAGACCACCUAACAAGACCAGGAGCUGUGGGCA
Molecule: ribosomal RNA, 116 nt
Filed under: Pteropus alecto (black flying fox)
Lineage: Eukaryota; Metazoa; Chordata; Mammalia; Chiroptera; Pteropodidae
Source: RNAcentral